AUUGACUAAUGUGGCUGGGCUAAAGGCAGAAAUAGAAAGAUGGAGGGAUUUGAAAAAGAGCAAUGUGAUUUUAGCUGAGAAUCCACAGAGGCGUUGGAUGGAAAAGCAACCGUGUCUUUUGCACAAAAACCCACAUGCACCAUGGCGACCGAUCAGUGAUGUGCGUGAGGUUCAUGGCAGGGGACGCCGCAGAGGAGACAUGAUUGUCACGUAUCAACUCCUGAACAACAAAUACAAGGUGGACACGGAUACGUUACUCCCCAGACACAGCGGUGACAGGACUCGAGGACACUCUCCGAAGUUGAUCAAACCCAGAGCGAACAGACAGAUAAGACAACAGUUCUUUAGUAACCGAAUCAUAAACGACUGGAACUCUCUACCAAACCAUGUUGUGAUAGCACCGUCCCCUGAUGCUUUUAAAUCUGGACUAGACAAACACUGGAGGGACUAUCUCUACAACUACUAGAUUUUUGUUGUCCAAAAAUCUAUGUUAAGACCAGUAGUAUACAUAGGCAUAUUGCCUUCACACUACUGUAACCAUGAUGAUGAUGAU
This is a long non-coding RNA of Cottoperca gobio, 553 nucleotides long. RefSeq lists it as uncharacterized. The transcript has 2 exons. The record is from RefSeq and is a predicted model, not a curated record. Lineage: Eukaryota; Metazoa; Chordata; Actinopteri; Perciformes; Bovichtidae.